GGGGAAUAUUGGACAAUGGGCGCAAGCCUGAUCCAGCCAUGCCGCGUGAGUGAUGACGGCCUUAGGGUUGUAAAGCUCUUUCACCCACGACGAUAAUGACGGUAGUGGGAGAAGAAGCCCCGGCUAACUUCGUGCCAGCAGCCGCGGUAAUACGAAGGGGGCUAGCGUUGUUCGGAUUUACUGGGCGUAAAGCGUACGUAGGCGGGUGGUUAAGUCAGAGGUGAAAUCCCGGAGCUCAACUUCGGAACUGCCUUUGAUACUGGCCAUCUUGAGUUCGGGAGAGGUGAGUGGAACUGCUAGUGUAGAGGUGAAAUUCGUAGAUAUUAGCAAGAACACCAGUGGCGAAGGCGGCUCACUGGCCCGAUACUGACGCUGAGGUACGAAAGCGUGGGGAGCAAAC
Molecule: ribosomal RNA, 400 nt
Filed under: uncultured bacterium
Lineage: Bacteria
Description: bacterial SSU rRNA
Rfam family: Bacterial small subunit ribosomal RNA
Source: RNAcentral